Molecule: long non-coding RNA, 1606 nt
Organism: Xiphophorus hellerii (green swordtail)
Lineage: Eukaryota; Metazoa; Chordata; Actinopteri; Cyprinodontiformes; Poeciliidae
Exons: 2
Source: RefSeq, a predicted model, not a curated record
GAACCAGGUUAGUUUCUAGUCCGCGGAGCAAGCGGCGUCUAGCUCCAGGUUGAUCCGAUUUAUGAACGCUAAUUUCGGCCAGCCGUUCUCUCCCGCUCCCUGCCUGGCGCUCGGAGGUUCAGUUAGGGACCAUCUACAAAUUUCCGAACCAAACAUGAGCAUCUACUGUAUGUACAUAGAUUUCUUGCCUUGUGACUAUUUUUAUUCUAUUUCACCCUUUUUAUUUCUUGUCAGUGGGUCAUAUGUGAUGUAAACUAUUAAAAACCAAGUGUAUUUUUAAAUAUAAAGUUAUGUAAAAAUGUAAAGUAAAAUGCAGAGCAUCGUCUCUCCAGUCUAGUAGAAUAAUUUCACACUGAUUUUAUGUUACUGGGUCACAUGACUUGGAAGCUAUUGAAGAAAAAAUAUUAAAAUUAUUUUAAAGAUUGAGUAUGACUUAAAAAUUCGAUGGAGAGCAGAGUGUCUCCUGUGACAGCAUGAAUGACCACUUUCUGUGUCAGUUGGUCACAAGGCCAGAAAUCCACAGUGAUGGUCAAACAACUAGAAUAUCAUCAAGUUAAAUCAGUUAUUCCAAUCACAAAGAGAAACUUACAUAUUAUUUUCAUUUAUUACUCAUAGACUGAUAUAUUUAAAAUGUUUUUUCUUUUAAUGUUGAUAAUUAGAACUGACAACUAAUGAAAACCCCAAAUUCAGUAUCUCAGAAAGUUAGAGUACUGAAGACCAAAACAAAAAAAGAUUUUUAGAAAUCUUGGCCAAUAGGAAGGAGUGAUGAUGUUCAGCUCUCAGUGCUGAGUUCUUCCUUCUGCCUGGUUUACUGCAGCCGCGCGGCGCGGCGUCCGUCGGCCAUGCGGCAUCUGUCAGUCUGCGGCCAGGCGUCCGUCGGCCAGGCAGCGAGGCGUCCGUCGGCCAUGCGGCGUCCGUCUGUCUGUGGCGAGGCGUUCCUCUGCUUGUGGCCUUCAGCUCUAAUGAAACGUCGGUCUGGUGCAUCACCAGUUUCCACCACGGACCUUAAACCGGGUUCUGGACUCUGUGUUCUGGAGCCAAGUCCUGCUGAAAAAUUUAAUCUGCAUCUCUAUAAAGUUGGUCAGCAGCAGGAAGUGCUGGUAGGUGCAUUGACCUUUGACCUCACAAAUCACAGUGGACCAACAUCAGCAGAUGACAUGGCACCAAACUAUGGUUGACUGUGGAAACUUUGACUAGACCUCAAGCAACAUGGAUUCUGCUGCUCUGCUCUUCCUCCAGACUCUGAGAGGAAAUAAAAAUUCACUUCAACCAGAGAACAGAGCAGUUUGUGUUCAGUCCAGGGUUUCCUUCCCUUCACCUCAGUGUCUGAACUCUGAACUCUGAACGGCUUCUUAAGCAAAGGUCGUCUUCUGGACGGCCGUCAGGUCAACGGUCAUGUGACCUGCAGAUCUGAACUGAGAGACAAUUUAAAGCAUCUGCAGGUUUUAAUAGAAACAUCCACACUAAUCAGGUAAUUAUCUGAUUAGUGUGGAGCACCAGAGGUUUUCAGUAUUGAAUCUUUCCACAAUAUUCUAAUUUUGUGAGACACUGAAUUUGUAGUUUUCAUUAGUUAUGAGUUAUAAUCAUCAACACUAAAAGAAAAAAA